UACCCAGACUCCUACGGGAGGCAGCAGUAGGGAAUUUUGCGCAAUGGGGGAAACCCUGACGCAGCAACGCCGCGUGAUUGAUGAAGCCCUUCGGGGUGUAAAGAUCUGUCAGUGGGGACGAAACUUGACGGUACCCACAGAGGAAGCAUCGGCUAACUCCGUGCCAGCAGCCGCGGUAAUACGGGGGAUGCAAGCGUUGUCCGGAAUCAUUGGGCGUAAAGAGUUCGUAGGUGGCACGUUAAGUCUGGUGUUAAAUGCAGAGGCUCAACCUCUGUUCGGCACUGGAUACUGGCGAGCUUGAAUGCGGUAGAGGUAAAGGGAAUUCCUGGUGUAGCGGUGAAAUGCGUAGAUAUCGAGAGGAACACUCGUGGCGAAGGCGGGUUCCUGGACAUUAACUGACGCUGAGGCACGAAGGCCAGGGGAGCGAAAGGGAUUAGAUACCCUUGUAU
This 449-nucleotide ribosomal RNA is filed under the name uncultured bacterium. RNAcentral describes it as "bacterial SSU rRNA". It matches the Rfam family "Bacterial small subunit ribosomal RNA", at positions 328 to 793 of the family's 1533-position model. The record is from RNAcentral.